AGCCAGGCUAACUCAGUGCCAGCAGCCGCGGUAAUACAGAGGGUGCAAGCGUUAAUCGGAUUUACUGGGCGUAAAGCGCGCGUAGGCGGCUAAUUAAGUCAAAUGUGAAAUCCCCGAGCUUAACUUGGGAAUUGCAUUCGAUACUGGUUAGCUAGAGUGUGGGAGAGGAUGGUAGAAUUCCAGGUGUAGCGGUGAAAUGCGUAGAGAUCUGGAGGAAUACCGAUGGCGAAGGCAGCCAUCUGGCCUAACACUGACGCUGAGGUGCGAAAGCAUGGGGAGCAAACAGGAUUAGAUACCCUGGUAGUCCAUGCCGUAAACGAUGUCUACUAGCCGUUGGGGCCUUUGAGGCUUUAGUGGCGCAGCUAACGCGAUAAGUAGACCGCCUGGGGAGUACGGUCGCAAGACUAAAACUCAAAUGAAUUGACGGGGGCCCGCACAAGCGGUGGAGCAUGUGGUUUAAUUCGAUGCAACGCGAAGAACCUUACCUGGCCUUGACAUAGUAAGAACUUUCCAGAGAUGGCUUG
Molecule: ribosomal RNA, 524 nt
Filed under: uncultured bacterium
Lineage: Bacteria
Description: bacterial SSU rRNA
Rfam family: Bacterial small subunit ribosomal RNA
Source: RNAcentral